RNAcentral lists this ribosomal RNA (301 nucleotides) under uncultured bacterium. Its description in RNAcentral is "partial 16S ribosomal RNA". It matches the Rfam family "Bacterial small subunit ribosomal RNA", at positions 509 to 807 of the family's 1533-position model. The record is from RNAcentral.
CAGUCGCCGCGGGAAUACAGAGGGUGCGAGCGUUAAUCGGAUUUACUGGGCGUAAAGCGUGCGUAGGCGGCUUCUUAAGUCGGAUGUGAAAUCCCUGAGCUUAACUUAGGAAUUGCAUUUGAUACUGGGAAGCUAGAGUAUGGGAGAGGAUGGUAGAAUUCCAGGUGUAGCGGUGAAAUGCGUAGAGAUCUGGAGGAAUACCGAUGGCGAAGGCAGCCAUCUGGCCUAAUACUGACGCUGAGGUACGAAAGCAUGGGGAGCAAACAGGAUUAGAUACCCCUGUAGUCCCUGUCUCUUAUAC